UGGCAGUGCGUCUUAAGCAUGCAAGUCAAACGGAAUGUAGUAAUACAUUUAGUGGCGAACGGGUGAGUAACGCGUGGAUAAUCUACCUAUGAGAUGGGGAUAACUAUUAGAAAUAGUAGCUAAUACCGAAUAAGGUCAAUUAAUUUGUUAAUUGAUGAAAGGAAGCCUUUAAAGCUUCGCUUGUAGAUGAGUCUGCGUCUUAUUAGUUAGUUGGUAGGGUAAAUGCCUACCAAGACGAUGAUAAGUAACCGGCCUGAGAGGGUGAACGGUCACACUGGAACUGAGAUACGGUCCAGACUCCUACGGGAGGCAGCAGCUAAGAAUCUUCCGCAAUGGG
This 337-nucleotide ribosomal RNA is filed under the name Borreliella afzelii. RNAcentral describes it as "bacterial SSU rRNA". It matches the Rfam family "Bacterial small subunit ribosomal RNA", at positions 37 to 375 of the family's 1533-position model. The record is from RNAcentral. Lineage: Bacteria; Pseudomonadati; Spirochaetota; Spirochaetia; Spirochaetales; Borreliaceae.